RNAcentral lists this ribosomal RNA (879 nucleotides) under uncultured bacterium. Its description in RNAcentral is "bacterial SSU rRNA". It matches the Rfam family "Bacterial small subunit ribosomal RNA", at positions 18 to 916 of the family's 1533-position model. The record is from RNAcentral.
CAUGGCUCAGGAUAAACGCUGGCGGUGUGCCUUAUGCAUGCAAGUCGAGCGGUUCUUCCCGCAAGGGAAGGAUAGCGGCAAACGGGUGUGUAAUACGUAAGUAACCUACCCCUAAGUGUGGAACAACUCUGAGAAAUCGGGGCUAAUACCGCGUGUGGUUCUUAACCGCAGGGUGGAGAAUUAAAGCCUUCGGGCGCUUGGGGAGGGGCUUACGUCCUAUCAGGUAGUUGGUGGGGUAACGGCUUACCAAGCCGAUGACGGGUAGCUGGUCUGAGAGGAUGGUCAGCCACACUGGGACUGAGACACGGCCCAGACUCCUACGGGAGGCAGCAGCAAGGAAUAUUGUGCAAUGGGCGAAAGCCUGACACAGCGACACCGCGUGAGGGACGAAGGCCUUCGGGUCGUAAACCUCUUUUCUCAGGGAGGAGUAAGGACAGUACCUGGGGAAUAAGCCACGGCUAACUACGUGCCAGCAGCUGCGGUAAAACGUAGGUGGCGAGCGUUAUCCGGAUUUAUUGGGCGUAAAGAGGGCGCAGGCGGCCUGGUAAGUCGAAUGUGAAAUCUCCCGGCUCAGCUGGGAGAGGUCAUUCGAUACUAUCAAGCUUGAGUGCAACAGGGGGAGGUGGAAUUCCCGGUGUAGUGGUGAAAUGCGUAGAUAUCGGGAGGAACACCAGUGGCGAAGGCGGCCUCCUGGGUUGUUACUGACGCUUAAGCCCGAAAGCGUGGGGAGCAAACAGGAUCAGAUACCCUGGUAGUCCACGCUGUAAACUAUGGACACUGGGUAUGGGGAGUAUCGACCCUCUCUGUGCCGAAGUUAACACGUUAAGUGUCCCGUCUGGGAAGUACGGCCGCAAGGCUAAAACUCAAAUGAAUUGACGG